RNAcentral lists this transfer RNA (68 nucleotides) under Andrena subopaca. Its description in RNAcentral is "tRNA-Val". The record is from RNAcentral. Lineage: Eukaryota; Metazoa; Arthropoda; Insecta; Hymenoptera; Andrenidae.
AAAAUUUUAGUUUAAACUUAAAACUUUUCUUUUACACUGAAAUAAUUAAAUUAAUUUUUAAAAUUUUA